RNAcentral lists this ribosomal RNA (448 nucleotides) under uncultured bacterium. RNAcentral describes it as "bacterial SSU rRNA". It matches the Rfam family "Bacterial small subunit ribosomal RNA", at positions 355 to 825 of the family's 1533-position model. The record is from RNAcentral.
UGGGGAAUAUUGGACAAUGGGCGCAAGCCUGAUCCAGCCAUGCCGCGUGAGUGAUGAAGGCCUUAGGGUUGUAAUGCUCUUUUUGGCGGGGACGAUAAUGACGGUACCCGCAGAAUAAGCCCCGGCUAACUUCGUGCCAGCAGCCGCGGUAAUACGAAGGGGGCUAGCGUUGUUCGGAAUUACUGGGCAUAAAGCGCACGUAGGCGGAUCAGCAAGUCAGGGGUGAAGUCCCGGGGCUCAACCUCGGAACUGCCUCUGAUACUGCUGGUCUGGAGUCCGGAAGAGGUGAGUGGAAUUCCUAGUGUAGAGGUGAAAUUCGUAGAUAUUAGGAAGAACACCAGUGGCGAAGGCGGCUCACUGGUCCGGUACUGACGCUGAGGUGCGAAAGCGUGGGGAGCAAACAGGAUUAGAUACCCACGUAGUCCCUGAGCGGGCUGGCAAGGCGCAU